RNAcentral lists this ribosomal RNA (490 nucleotides) under uncultured bacterium. RNAcentral describes it as "partial 16S ribosomal RNA". It matches the Rfam family "Bacterial small subunit ribosomal RNA", at positions 28 to 507 of the family's 1533-position model. The record is from RNAcentral.
GAUGAACGCUAGCGGCAGGCCUAAUACAUGCAAGUCGAACGGGAUCCAGAUCAAAGCUUGCUUUGGUUUGGUGAGAGUGGCGUACGGGUGCGUAACGCGUGAGCAACCUACCCUUGUCAGGGGGAUAGCCCGGCGAAAGUCGGAUUAAUACCGCAUGACAUCAUUGAGAGGCAUCUUUCGAUGAUCAAAGAUUUAUCGGACAAGGAUGGGCUCGCGUGACAUUAGCUAGUUGGUAAGGUAACGGCUUACCAAGGCUACGAUGUCUAGGGGCUCUGAGAGGAGAAUCCCCCACACUGGUACUGAGACACGGACCAGACUCCUACGGGAGGCAGCAGUAAGGAAUAUUGGUCAAUGGACGGAAGUCUGAACCAGCCAUGCCGCGUGCAGGAAGACGGCCCUAUGGGUUGUAAACUGCUUUUAUACGGGAACAAACGUCGGUACGUGUACCGGUCUGAGUGUACCGUAAGAAUAAGGAUCGACUAACUCCGUG